RNAcentral lists this ribosomal RNA (879 nucleotides) under uncultured bacterium. RNAcentral describes it as "bacterial SSU rRNA". It matches the Rfam family "Bacterial small subunit ribosomal RNA", at positions 11 to 916 of the family's 1533-position model. The record is from RNAcentral.
GUUUGAUCAUGUCUCAGGAUGAACGCUGGCGGCGUGCCUAACACAUGCAAGUCGAGCGAUUCUCUUCGGAGAAGAGCGGCGGACGGGUGAGUAACGCGUGGGUAACCUGCCCUGUACACACGGAUAUCAUACCGAAAGGUAUGCUAAUACGGGAUAAUAUGAGAGAGUCGCAUGGCUUUCUUAUCAAAGCUCCGGCGGUACAGGAUGUACCCGCGUCUGAUUAGCUAGUUGGUGAGGUAAUGGCUCACCAAGGCGACGAUCAGUAGCCGACCUGAGAGGGUGAUCGGCCACAUUGGAACUGAGACACGGUCCAAACUCCUACGGGAGGCAGCAGUGGGGAAUAUUGCACAAUGGGCGAAAGCCUGAUGCAGCAACGCCGCGUGAGCGAUGAAGGCCUUCGGGUCGUAAAGCUCUGUCCUCAAGGAAGAUAAUGACGGUACUUGAGGAGGAAGCCCCGGCUAACUACGUGCCAGCAGCCGCGGUAAUACGUAGGGGGGCUAGCGUUAUCCGGAAUUACUGGGCGUAAAGGGUGCGUAGGUGGUUUCUUAAGUCAGAGGUGAAAGGCUACGGCUCAACCGUAGUAAGCCUUUGAAACUGAGAAACUUGAGUGCAGGAGAGGAGAGUAGAAUUCCUAGUGUAGCGGUGAAAUGCGUAGAUAUUAGGAGGAAUACCGGUGGCGAAGGCGACCCCCUGGACCAACACUGACGCUGAGGUACGAAAGCGUGGGUAGCAAACAGGAUUAGAUACCCCAGUAGUCCUGGCCGUAAACGAUGGAUACUAGGCGUAGCGGGUAUCGACCCCUGCUGUGCCGCAGCUAACGCGAUAAGUAUCCCACCUGAGUAGUACGGCCGCAAGGUUGAAACUCAAAGGAAUUGACGG